Molecule: ribosomal RNA, 151 nt
Filed under: uncultured bacterium
Lineage: Bacteria
Description: partial 16S ribosomal RNA
Source: RNAcentral
CGGUGACGCGUACCUAGCUGAUGUAGCAUGCGCGUGAGUGAUGAGCUAGGGUUGUAGCUCUUUCGCUGGAGAUAUGACUGUAUAGUAAAUAAACCCCGGAUAUUUCCGUGCCAGCAGGCGCGUUUAUCCGUGCCAGGGCAUCUACUAUAUG